This 253-nucleotide ribosomal RNA is filed under the name uncultured bacterium. RNAcentral's name for it is "partial 16S ribosomal RNA". It matches the Rfam family "Bacterial small subunit ribosomal RNA", at positions 524 to 776 of the family's 1533-position model. The record is from RNAcentral.
UACGUAGGGUGCAAGCGUUAAUCGGAAUUACUGGGCGUAAAGCGUGCGCAGGCGGCUUUGCAAGACAGAUGUGAAAUCCCCGGGCUCAACCUGGGAACUGCAUUUGCGACUGCAUGGCUGGAGUGCGGCAGAGGGGGAUGGAAUUCCGCGUGUAGCAGUGAAAUGCGUAGAUAUGCGGAGGAACACCGAUGGCGAAGGCAAUCCCCUGGGCCUGCACUGACGCUCAUGCACGAAAGCGUGGGGAGCAAACAGG